This 28777-nucleotide long non-coding RNA is filed under the name Brachypodium distachyon (stiff brome). RNAcentral's name for it is "long non-coding RNA (BDIS_LNC003125)". The stretch from base 17443 to 17578 matches the Rfam family "MIR1120/MIR1122 microRNA precursor family". The record is from RNAcentral. Lineage: Eukaryota; Viridiplantae; Streptophyta; Magnoliopsida; Poales; Poaceae.
AUGCCACCGUACCGUUUCACGACUCUUUUCUUUCUUCUUCCCCCCGAGCGCAUAGUGCCCUUAUCAGUUCCCCCCAUCUCCCUCGUCUCCUCUCCUUCGCCUAGGGUUUGCACCCAGCCGCCGCCGCCGCCACUCGACGACCCAGCCGCUGCCGCUCGGCGACCGGAGGCCAUGAAUCCGCCCGCCGCCGCUACCCCACGAAACCCCUGCCGCGCCGUCGAGGGCCCGCCGCCGCCCCAUGAAUCCCCUGCCGUGCCGUCGAGGGCCCGCCGCCGCCCCACGAAUCUCCGCUCUUGUGGAUCCGCCGCCCGAAGCCCCUGCUCCGCCGCCUGCUGAUCCGUGGAGCCGCCGCCCGAAGCCCCUGCUCUGCCGCCUGCUGGUCCGUACAUGGCCGCCGCUGCCACCCUGCUGGUUCGUGGCCGCCGCGUGGGCCGCCUGAAGCAUCCACCUCGACUCCUCCUCCGACGCUCAUGCUGCUGCCCGGCGUUGCCCCUCUUAUAGCCCUCUGCCCCCUCUGCUCUGUCCUUGUUUCGCUACUGCCUACUGCCUGACGCCGCCCUCCGCCAGCACGAGCAGAUCGGCCAGGAACUCUUCAUCCCCGAACUCGGAGCCUCUGGGACUGCUCUUCUCCGCCACGCACUCCCUCCCUUACUGUCCAGCAGAUCUCUCCCCAACUGGCAUUUUGCAAUUUUGAUUUUGUGAUUUUCUGAAAUCUAUGGCAUGUUGCAAUUAUUUUGUGAUUUUGCAAUUGUAUAUAAAAAGAGUGGCAUGAUAUUUAACUUUUUUUUUCUGGUAAAGACAUAAUGUUUCAGUUUAAGGGCGUUGUAGUCUUUUCAUCAGAAACCCUAGACGAUCUUCUUAGAAAAUAGAAGCCGAAAAGAACCGUAGCUUCUAGCUGGCUUCUCCUCGCCACAGUUUCUAUGGACAGAGAAGCUAAAGUUGUUUCUGAAGAAGCUGAAGCCAAAAAGAACUGAUCCUAUAUCUAUCUCCGAGGUGUUUGGGUUUUGCAAAACUCCAUAGACAUGCAGAAGAGAAAUGCUAUCCCCACUCCGACCAAUUUGAUCAGGCCUACAUCGUUUUUGUCAGACCCCGGAUGGAUCUGACUUGGAUUUUAAUUGGGAUCGAGCAAAAGCAAUUGAGAAAAGUUGAAGAACAAAUAGGAGAUGUAUGUGUAUAUUGAUAAAGCGCCGUAUCCUGUGCAUCCGCCUGCCUCGAUGUUUUCCUGCAUCCGCUUCAUCUCCUCCGGCCGAUACAAAUCCAAGGCAGCAUCCCCGAUUUUGCAAAUUUUGCAAGAAAACGCCGGCAACUUUUUAUGUUAAUCAUGUUUAUUUGGCAAACACCCACUCAGCAGACGCAAGUCUCCCAAUUCCAACCUGUGUGCUACUUUUCCCAAUCUCUCGGCUGCUCUGACCAUCCUCCAUGGCCAAUGAUGAAUGAGCGCCUGCAUGUGUGGGAGCAGCGGACCAUGUCCCGGAGGCGGAAGACCAAAUCUCGACGAUGGCGACUGCACUGGACACCCGCGUUGGUGGGCUGCUGCACUAUCCCGUUGGCACGGAGAGCUGCAGCCUGCAGAGGCGCGACCAAAUCCUGAGAACGGAGGUUUGCUAGUAUUCGGCGACUCUCACUCACUGUUAUGCGGGCGACGACCAUCACACCCCUGACUUUUUAUACGUUCGAUUCUUCUUUUUGGUUGUGUCCCUGCCUAGAUUUCGUCUCCCAUGGUGGACUGCAACUCACUUUUUUUUCUUCGUCUUCUUGUGCGUGUGCGCCUAGAUGUAAUUUUACAGUGUGAAUGCUAUUUAAUUGGUGAAUGGGAAUUGCAAACUGCGGGGGAAUGAAAACUUCAGAAAUAAAUCAAUUAGUCCCACCGAGCAUCGGUUUUCCCUUUGGCAUAUGUAAAUCCUUGUACAAUCAUGCAUUCUGAAUUUUGCAAAUUGUUAAUUGACUCAAGGGGUGCAGGAGAUUAAACGUAUCAUUGGUCUAUUGAUUGCAUGUAUAAGACAGAUGACCCGCUUGCAUUUGCUAAAUAUUGCCCUUGUAUCCGGGCGCUGGGACGCCAUUAACGAAAAUUGGCAACAUCCACUGCCGUUAAUCACAUCACGUCGGCCCGUGCUCGACUCCCUAAUUCACCGUCAGGAUAUCAAGGGUUCCCUCCCCACCGAGUCAGAGAUGAUUGGAGACUAAUGCCUCAAGACAACAUGCGCACACGUGACGUCGUUGCAGUUGGGUUACCCUAUCGAAGAUCGUCAGAGCAGUGGAGAGAUUGGGGCGAAGUACUACACAGGUUGAAAAUGGAAGAAUCGCGUCGAGCGGAGAGGCAUUUUGACAAGCCAAAAUGAUUAGCGUAGAAGGCUGCGGGCGUUUUUUUUUAAUAUUUGCCAUCCCCGGUAUCCUUAGCGUUGGAUUUGGAUCGGCUGGUGGAGAUGAAGUGUAUACAAGGGUACUUCGUGGUUAAGAGUAAAAUAAAAGGUAAUAGUAAAAAGAUGAUAUUAGCCGUGGGUCUUCAACUCGGUGGGUUUGUUCCAUCCAAUAGUACCUCCUUUAAUGUGUAAUAUUCCACCCUUAGGUUAACAUGAUAUCUUUUAUGUGUGUAAUAGAACAUAACUAUUUAUAUAAGGUAGCAUAUAUUAAAAUCUUUUGUUGAAAAUUUAAUAAAUAUAUAUAAAUCAAAACAUGGUGUUUCUCCUUCAGUGUCAAAUCACCUAGCUAAUGACACUGUAUAGUAAAAGCAUAGUAAAAUAAAAUAGUCAUUUUAUCCGUCGCAAGCUUUUAUAUAUUACUAUGCUCGUCGUUCCUAAAUACAAAAUGUUCUAUAUUUUUUCCUAAGUAAAAAGUCUUAAAGUUUGAUGAAUUUAUAGAAAACCAUACCAACCCCUACAACUCUAAAUUAAUCUUAUCAAAUCUUGUAAUGAUUUCGGUGGGAUCUAACACCCACUCUAUCUGAUCUUUGCACACCUACACUAGUUGGAAUAUCACACUUGUGAGAACUCAACACUUUAUUCACUCUCACAGUAUUGAUACACCACUCAUUUUUGUGGCUACCCUACUAUUACACAUACAAUUCAAACAUGAUAACUCGCUUCUUUUCUUGUAUAGUGACACAGUACCUUUUGAUGUGGUAGUGGUGGUAAACCUCAUGGGGAAACACCCCUAUUUAUAGUUGUAUAAUACCAUGUGGUACAUACUAAACAUCAUAUUACAAUCUUCUUAAAUAUUCUACAUGUAUUAUAGUUCUAGAGAGUACAUCCUAAACAUCCUACUACAAUUCUCUAGAAUACUCUACAUGCAUUUUAGUUCUAGAAAAUUCUUGCUUAUUCUGGAAGCUUCUUUAAGACAUCUAAUGCUAGAUAGUACCCCUCUUCAUGUAACCUCUGAAGCCUUCUAAAAUAUUCCAAUCUUAUAAAAGAGAAAAUUACAUGGAACAACCACAUUCGGGGCAACUAUAUAGGAAAACCACAUUUUUUUCUUCUUCAAAUUACCACCGUUUUGGGCUUGGAGGUAUUUCUGCGCACUGAUUCGACAGUUGGGUGCGUUUUGAUGGAAAAACUGACAGGGGGGCCCACCUGUCGGUGCCACCGUGGCUCCACCGAAUCAGUGUGCGGGGACCAACAGGUGGGUCCCUCUGUGAGUUUUUUUUUAUCCAAACGCACUCAACUGCCGAACCAGUGCGCGAGAGUACCUCCAGACCCAAAAGCGGUGGUAAUUUGAAUUUUUUUUAAAGAUGGUUUUCCUAGUAGAGUGCCCCAAAUGUGUUCGUUUUGUGUAAUUUUCUCCUUCUCAAAUUCAUUAGAAGGCUCCUUGUUAAUAUCUUACUUCUCCAACCAAACUAUCCUAAAAUCUUCUCAAAUUAUGUAUUGUCAAACUUGGUCAAAUUUGAAAAUUUGAUUUAGAAGAAAUCUGAAACAACUUAUGUUUUGUGGCAGUUUGAAAUAAUAUUCAUAUAAAUAUUGAAAAUCGAAGAUUGUGCCAUAAAGUCAUGUACCGCUGGGCCUAACCUGUUUUCCACCGCGUCAGCGUUUGCACGUGGCUAUUCCUCAGCUAUCAAUGUAGUUGACCAACCACGAAUCUGCGACUUGACCAAUGGCGACCUACCACCACGCCGGCGGCGGGCCAAACGAGAGACCGUCCACGAAGAAGGCAGAUAAGCCCGGGCCCGAAAAGCAAGGAGCCGCCGCCGCGUGCAGCCAACCACGAGGCGCCACUCCCUGUAAGUAAUUAACCGUGUCGAUCUGUUUCUUCUUCCUUUAAUAAUCCACGGAAUCUGUACACCCGUCUAACUAGUUUUCCUUCCACAUUGAAUUUCUUCUUCUUUCUUCUCUCAAAAGUACUCCACGACGCGUUAAAGGAACGAAGCAACCGCGUUAUCUACGUUCAUCUCUCUCUCUCUCUGACUCUCUCUAUAAGUAGCAGAACAGAUGCUUGACGAUGCUGUACUCCUAUCCAGUCUCCUGUCCAAUCACGCCUUCUUCUUAAUUUCCUGAUUAACUGUCGUUGCUCGUUUUCCACUUUCUACAGACCAGUUCUUGCUAGCUAGCUCUAGCUAGACCUUCCCGCAAUUCGAUCAUGAGCUACCAGCAGGGUACGUAGAGCCACUCUCUCUGAAUUCCAUUUCUGAUUGGGUUCCAUUUUGGCAGUUCGAGUUCUGAACCUUGUUUCUUUUGGUUGUGCAGGAUACCCGCAGCCCGGAACUGCAGCGUACCCUCCGCCGGGCCAGCAGCAGCAGCAGGCCUACGUGGCGGCGCCGCCGCCGGUCGGCUACCCACAGGCGCAGGACCAACAGUCUUACCCUGCUGGCACCGGCGACGAGACCACGAGCCGUGGCCACCACCACCACAGCGGCGGCGGCUUCUGGAGAGGAUGGUAAGCUCCAUUUCUUCUUCUGAAUUCUCACUCUGCACUCUGAACUCUGAAGAGAACUCUAGCAAAUUUAAUUGCUCCCUUUCUGUUUUGUAGCUGUGCGGCGCUGUGCUGCUGCUGCCUCCUCGACGCCUGCUUCUGAUCUGAUCGAGCUUGUCCGAUGCUGCCCGUCCGUCCAUCACGAUCACGGCGACAUCGUGAUGUGUGCUACGUACUGUAGUAGCUAUCUGCAGUUGAUGCCAUUUUAUUUUUUUUAUUUUUCAUGUCUGAUGGCGUUGUAUAUAUUUUAUACGCUUGCCCAUUCAAUAUAUAUGCUUGAAGAGGAUGUGUGAGAUUGAAUGUUUGAGCUUUUUAUGAUGGUUUUCAUGAGCUUUCACCGUAAAACUGGUUUUCACUGGAUACUCCAUCGGACCGUCAUCAAUACACCUAACAUUAGAUACACAAGUUACUCUCUAGAACGUUAUAACAAGAUAUGUUGUGCAUAACAACAUCAUGAUCUUGUACCCUAAAUUGGAAUAUUUAUUAAUGGUCAUAAAUGGGACAUACUAGUUGCGGGGUACAUAUUAAUAUAUUACCGAAAAGCAAGUUUCCCCCUUACCAAUCUACUUAGGUGAUGAGUAAACUACAUAGAAACUUUAUUGCACAUGGAUUAAUUCCCUUUCUCUUAGAUAUGGUUAUUAAUAAGAUAAGAAACAAGGGAUAAGAGUAGAGCCAAAUGAGCUUUUUUUUACUCAACCAAUCAAAGUUGCACAACAUUACAAGGCAAAAGAAUUUGAUAAUACACCGGAUAAACUGAUUUUAUAUUAAAAAAACGUCAUUUUAAUAUGAGAUGUAGCAAAACAAACAAUAACUAAUAAUCAAAAUUUUAGACAGCAAAUAAGUAUAUUUAUAAUAGUUUAUGUAUACUAUGAGUAUGAGAUACAAAUCUGAUUAAAUAUUUAUAAUAGUUGAUGAUUUCUCUACAUAGAAUGUAAAAUAUGUUGAAUAUUAAUAGUAAUUAUAUUGUCUUUCUAAUUUGUUUUUUCUAAAUAUGUUGAAUAUAUAUAGUAAUUAUAAUUUCGCUACUGUAAUCAUCACCAUAUGCGCUCUGCCGGGGGAUUACCGCAGAGAAAUUGCGGUGACUACAUCGCACUGUGCUGCCGAGGAAGCUUUGAUUGUGUUAUUUCCGACCAUAAUUCUCAUGGUUGCGCCGCCGAUGAUGAUCUUGGCGUGCCAGCUAUGGCGAUCUCACUACGUUCUUUCCUCACUUUCUUUUGGAAAAAGAUUCACUUCCUAUUUUAUUUAGAGUUCUUGUAUACCAACAACAAUUUAGAAUUUUGAUUUAACCCAAAAUUUUACGAUCUUAAUUGCAUCCGAAUGUUAUUAUAUUCAUCAAAUGUGUUGUGGUAGCAACAUGUAGUUCUAAAUAAGACUUUGAAUUUUAAAUUAUUGAGUGUAUUUGAGAUAAGAAACCAUAUAAUUCCAAAAUAUUUUUUACUUAUUUCUGAUGUCAAGAGAAAAAAUAACCUUUUUUUUGGGAUAAAAGAGAUGCUGCAUAUAUACUUGCUGGAGAACCACAAUAUGUAUUUGUCAUCUAUCCAAUUCAAAUAACACCAACUUCAGUGCAUUGCACGAGUUCCUUUUGGCGCACCAUCUAUUUUACUGUUGUUAUCUUCAUUCAUUCAUUCAUGUUAGGCAGCUAAGGAGCAACCUCAUUGUUAAUACAGAGUCCAGACAUCGUUUACAAGACCCAUCACGGAUAAUGAAGUUUAGGACCACCGCCAGGGUUGAUCUAGUCUCCCAAGAGCGCAGGGCAUCUAGUAUCAGUCACAUGUUAAUGAAGACUUCCAUUAUCGGAAAAAGAAAAACCUAGUGCCGGUCACAUAUCAAUAAAGGUUCUCAUUAUGGGGAAAACAAAACUAGUGCCAAUCACUUGUGUUGUGUACUGCCGACGAUGCGCUUCACCAAUGUAUUAUUCAGUUCCGUUUGUAACUCACAAGUUUAUUUGGGUGCUUCAAGCGAACAGAUGGAAACAAGAUGCCGAAAACUGCCGACAAAGCUGUAAGAAGGUGGCUCCUCCUGUAGCAUGGUCCUCAAAGUGUACAGGGAUAAUUGAGUCCCACAAACUUUAACAGCCUUGUACAGCCAGCAGGCAGCCUCCUUCCCGUCUUCAAAUUUCACGAAUGAUAACGAAGCAAAUCGGCUAAUUCGUUAGGAUAUCAUGCGUAGCUACACACUGGAUGUAUCACCAAAAUAAUGAAUCAAACAUACUGGACUGAACCUAACUGUGAACCAAACCGGGCAAAUGCAUUUACAGCAAUCAAAAUGUAAUGUUAGUUAAUCGGAUGAGCUCCUUAACCACCUUGAAGCAAAAAUGACAUCCACUUACUACUAGCUGUAAUCUUGGAACGUACAAGGGGAAAUAAUGAUCCGAAACUACAGGAACUAGACAGUGUUAUAUUUCCACUCCAUUCACAUGUAGUUUUGAAAUGGCAAAUGACUAUACAACACCUUGCAUACCGACGAAAAUACUGCGGUACUUACCUCUUUAUAAUAUAUACACGUGGUAUAGCACGUACUCCAAUUUUAUAUAUCAAACUUCUGGACUGUAAAAGUUCAAACCAAAGUUACCUCCAGCGCAUUUUCAAACUAAAUUAAGCAUCCAAGUGAUCUGACCCGCUCACCCUCUGUCCUCUCUCGCACAGAUGCACGCUUUCUGAUUCACCAUCGCAGGAGAAAGGAGGAAAAGCGAUGGAAUUGUGUCCAACAAGAUGGCACUUUAAAUAAAGUUAGCUAGCAACCAAUCAUUUGGGAAGCUUUGAAGAAGAUACUGUUGGAUAAAUGUAGUAGUAACGAAGAUGUAGUUUAUGGGAAGAAUCAUGUUGGCACAAGGCGAGAAUAAUUCUCUGUGUCCGAUACAAGCUUCCUAAGCUUUGAGUGUCAGGUUCAGGAAAGAAUCCCUCGGUCCAGGAAAGCUCCCUAGCAAAAUGUUUGGGUUACAAUCAUUUUGAACAACAUGAGAAACGAACAAGACAAAGGAACUUGUGAUUGCCAGACCUCACACGUAUUGUCCAGCUUAUCAAAAUCAAAAGCAGUGAUGCCACGUCCUACCCUGGCGUGCUCUCUCCUAUUCAGGAUUCCGCCCCGGAAUGCUAGCUUCUUGGACCUUUGAUUUCUUGAUAGACAGCUCCCAGGCUUGAGAGGCCUGCCUCCUCCUUCUGAAUAGCUGCAACUAUAUGAGUACAUAGCUGCACUGUGCUGGGUGCAUUAGCUGAAGAAGUUACAAGCAUAGUAGCACUUGCAGUUUGCAGACAUAAGCAGCAAGGAUGCCUAUCCAAGAGAAGGUGACAAUGAUGACCGAGAGACUCAAGGCCGAUUUCUCCAAGAAUGAAACCAAGAUCCAUAGGUUUCCACAAGGGCUACGCAUCGGCUGCCAAGCUGACCGAUACAUCGCCCCUAGUGUCGUUGCCCUUGGUCCAUACCACCAUGGGCAACCCCAACUGCAACAGAUGGAGGAGGUGAAGCACGCGGCAGCCCACUACCUGUGCAACAAGUCCGGGCACCCAAUUGAGGAAGUCUACAGCAAGAUCCUCUCGUUUGUCGGUGAGGCCCGAAGCUGCUACACCGACGACCCGGUCGCAAAAUUCAGCGAUGCUGACUUUGCGGUAAUGAUGUUCCUCGAUGGCUGCUUCCUGCUAUACUACAUAUCUACGGAUGUGGAGAAGGAAUGCACUCUGUUGGCAAACCGGGUGUGUCUCUCCACAGGGCCAUGUCUUCUCAGGGACAUAUUCCUUCUGGAAAACCAGCUCCCUUGGCUGGUGCUCCACGUUCUCAUGACCUUUUUUACCUAUGUUGCUCCCCUAGUGCCCCCAUUUAUUGAAGACAUGGCGUCGUAUUUCAACAUCAGCUCGCAUUCAGAGAAGACAAAGCCUCCUGUCACCCUCGAGGGGCCGCACAAGCCGCCACAUCUCCUUGGACUCCUCCAUCACUAUGAGGUAGGCAGCCCGGAGCCUGGCAAAGUGGAGGAGAACUUUGGUGACGAAUACCCUUCGCCUACUAGUGCGAUCGAGCUUGCGGAAAUCGGCAUCAAGCUGACGGGCGCCAGCAACAAGGCAUGGCUGGUGAACAUGAGCCACCGAAGACGUGUCUUCGGUCAGCUCUCCCUGAGGCCACUGUUCCUGAACGACAUCACUGCUUGCUGGCUCGUCAACAUGGCAGCGUUCGAGACGUGCACGUCCACCAGCUAUCCUAAAGAUGGCUUCGUUGUCUGCUCGUACCUCUGCAUCCUUGGAAUGCUCGUCGACAAGGAGGAUGACGUGCAUGAGCUGCGAGCUAAGCAUAUCGUGCGCAGCCUCUUCAGCAACAAGGAGCUGCUGGUCUUCCUCAAGGGCCUCGCUCAUCACCUGCGCCCUGGCCACCACUACUUCGUCAUCUUGUCGAAGAUUGGGGUGUACAAGCGUCACAGGAGCGUGCGCAUCCUGGUGUACAAGUUCUUCUACAACCACUACAAGACCAUCGUUGCCUUGAUCUCUCUUGUUAGUGUGCUCGUGGGCAUCUUCCAAACCCUUGCAAGUCUCAAACAACCAGCUCAGCCAAAAUAGGUUCUGUGGAGUUUUGUUGGUUCAUCUUUUCGAUCUGCUAUCCGGUGUGAUGUUGUACUGUCAAUGAUCCAGAAUUAAUUGUGUCUCUUGCACUUGUAUAGUUCGCGUAUGAGUGUGGUGUGUCGUGUGUCUCUUUUGAUUUUUUUCUGAUUAUUGAGUGUCCGUCCAGAACAAACUCCAUAUAUGCAAUCCUACUCCAGUAUUUAUCUGUAUUGUUCGUAAUGACAUAUGCACUUUCCAGGCUGCUAACAGAGUCAGUGUGAUAGCCAAAACAUUGUGCUGACCUCAUGAAAUAUCUAAAUGGCCAGACAUAAGGUCCUAGCAUACAAAAUCGCCAUUCUCCCAAUAAUAUGCAUAUUGUAGUUCUGGGCUUCUGCCCAACUAAAUAUGCACUUGUACAACCUCACUGAACAUGUGUUAAACCUUGCAAGGAUGGUGGGCAAAGAACUAUAAUUUACCUUUUGUUGAUGUUACAAUAAAUACCGAGAAUUCCCCAAGAGAGCCCUUGAUCCAGAACUGCAGUAGAACACUCAUGUUUCAGUUUCAGUUUCAGUUAUUAUCAAAACAAAGGCACGGACACCAGGACCUGGACUGAAACCGCCAUGCCUCCAUGAUGGCGUUCUCCCUAAGUGUGUCUGCUCAAUCUGUCCAGGGCUGAAACCACCUCUCCUCCACAAAGGACAGGUUGGCAAACACAGAAUGAAAGUUCUCUAUCCGAAGUCUCCAAGAACUCAGUUUGCUGCCAUGAUGGAACCUUUGCAAAAACAGUCGACCACCUUGUAUAGCUGGCCUUCCACUAAUCCAUGGUAACCAUUUGCUGAAAGAACAAUUGUGAGUACUAUUGAUUACAUCCAGUCCGGGGCUAAAUCCACUUCACCACCAUGGUAGUAUUUUGCUGAACAACUGCGACAUCUUGAAAUUCUAUUGUAAUGGCGUGCUGUCAUGCGUCACAUCAGCGAAAAACAAGUGAUUAUACCCCUGAGUAGAGUCGGCCACUGACGUGUAACCGUAUCACCGCCCUUCUCCACAAGCCAUUUCCGGAUCAAGCUCCAGGAACAUUGACAAGGCACAGACGUGAGUAAGCACAUGAUUAGGAGUCUCUUCAUCCCGUACAUGUGUCCUUGAGAGGUACUGCAUGUGACAUCUUACUUGUGUCGCCGCCAAUUUGAACUGCAAUGACAGAUGGCAUAGGGCUAAGGUUGACAGUGCUAUCCAGCAAAGCAGAGGCCGGGGAAGAACUAUGAUCCAUAGGAAGAUUCCAGAGUCGCUUCCCGCACUAACGCAGAUUUCUGCAGUUCAGUAUCCUUAUGGAAGCAUUUCGUCGAACAGGUGGCGGGCGUCGGCAUGGUCAGCUCGAAGACAGCAGAAGUAGCGCUCACAAGGUCGAGGUACACUCCGAGGAAACUUGAUGAACACUCCAAGACAUGACCCGCGGAAGCUGCAGCCCCAGCAUCAGCAUGGUUGCUGCCGGCGUCGAAGCCCAGGCCAAGUGUGGAAGUCCGUGGCCGGUGGGCGGCGCGGUGUCUCUCCAUGCCCAUCCCGGAGGCCAGCGGUUUGAGCCAAGGUCGCAGCAGGUCGGCUCCACCACCGUCGUGCCAUGGACUCGUCGUUGAUUCUUUCCUUCCCCCUCCACCCGCACAAGAGGCAACAGGUCAAGGUUCUCCUUGAUUGAAGCUAACGGCGCAGCCUCUCACCCACCAUGCACCUCCCCUGCCGCUGCGCGCCAGGUCAAAGAAAUCCCGCCCAAUCGAUACGAAUCUGAUACCAUAUAUGUGUUGAAAACCCGGCGGAGAGGAGGAGAAAUUAGAUAUAGAGAAUAAGGAUAUCCGAGGAAGAAAGAGCAUAGGCAGGAGGCGAUUUCAUUCGUUUCACCGAUGCCUUUUUUUAGUUUUUUUUCUCUCUCACGAGAACCCGAUGCCCAUUUUUGACAUUAUCGUCAUCUUGUGUCAGUGUCGCCGGUAGAUGGACGAAAGUUUCAAGUGUCCGCGACACACCACAUAUUAUCAAGGGUUAAUUGGGUCUAUUUCAUUAUAAUUUUUACCGGUCUUGAUUUGGAAAAAUGCCACUCUAACUUUCUUAUACGUCUAGCCAUGCCAUUUUGUCCAAUACCAUCAUGUAUACUGUCUAAAUACGUAUAUACAUAGUUUUAUACGAACAGUUUUUUUUCCAUCCCAAGUCAAACAGUUCUAUUUCUCUUGCUCUUAUUAUCCCCCACGCGCUCCUCUAUCCUGACCCUAACGAACCCUAAAAAAAGUGGAGGCAUGUGCCGUUGUACACGCUGAAAUACAUGUAUUUUAUGAACAGUAAUUGGUUUUAAGCGGACAGAAUGACAUAGUUAGAGAUAUAAAAAAGUUAGAGAGGCAUUUCUCCAAAUCAAAUUUUUGUAAUGUCGUAUUUUCAACCGAUGGAAUAAAUAGUAGCAUAAAUCCAAUUAACCAUAAAAAAAAUCGUCCAAACGGACCCUUUUCAAUCACCGCCGACCCGCAAAGAAAAACCCAACACACGGCGCGCGUAACUCAAUUCAGCAUACUACCAGUAGCAUCUUGCCGACGUGCCGUACCGUGCCGUGGCGUCGAGGGCGCUUGCUGGCCCGUGUCCUCUGUUUCUCAUCCACCAACGGCGGCCGCCCGCGCUAGCUAAAGGGCACGAAACCGAAUCAAUGCGGCAUCUGGCAAGCAAAUGCAAGCACACGUACAGCAGCCUAGCUUGUCGGCUCCCUUUCCUUUCGCAAUCUCUUCCUUCUUCCUCUUCUUUCCUUGACGCGUCUUCAGCAAUCGCGUUCAGCCUCCCUAUAAAUGUACAUCGUCACACGCUCAUUACAUUACACACUUCAAGCAAAGCAAAGGAAGCCGCUUCUUCCUCCUCCUCCUCACAUCUUAUUCAGUUAUUCGUCAGGAAGAAGAAGAAGAAGAAAAAAGAGUGCUAUAUUCCUCUCUGCAGAGUUAGUUCCAGCGGUUCGACGGCCAUGAGCUACCAGCAGGGUACGUGCUACUCUGUUUCUGAAGCAACCGCAGGCUGCGCCAAGAUCUGCAAUUCUUCGAGUUCGAUGUUAAUUAAUGUUUCUUUUGGUUUGUGCAGGAUACCCGCCCCAGGGCCACCAGCAGCAGCAGCAGGAGGCCUACGUGGCGCCGCCGCCGCCGCCGGCCGGCUACCCAAUGGAGAAGGACGACCAGCUGCAGCAGUCGUACCCCGCCGGCGCCGGAGCCGAAACCACGACCCGCGGCCACCACCACCACCACCACCACCAUGGCGGUCACCACGGCAACGGCGGAGGCGGCGGCGGCUUCCUGAGAGGAUGGUGAGCUAGCUAUUCUUCUUUUUCCAUUAAUUCUGAAUCCACACCCUGUAUUCUCCAGGCAUCAGGAUCCCCUGACAUUGUUUGCUUCUUUUUUUGUUGCAGCUGCGCUGCGCUCUGCUGCUGCUGCCUCCUCGACGCCUGCUUCUGAGUUCCGAGAUUGCGUCCAUCGCGAUCCUGGCAUGCAUGAUGAGUAGCUUAGCUACGCGCCUAUGUGCAGUGCAGUUAUCUUGAUCAUUUGUUUGUGGGUUACUUCUCUAUGUAUCGAGGGAGUGUGUAUACUAGUAGCUCAGCACAUUUUGUUAUGUGUGAUGGUGGUGGUGGUAUUUUUUUUUUCCCGUUCUGUAUGAUUCGAAAUGGACGUACGUGUGCGACUCAUCCGGUGGCUUAUUCGCCUUGCUCGCCACUUCCCUUGUUGAAUUCAAGAUGAUGGUGCCUUUGUUGUGAAUACAGAAUUUGUGAAAUCUUUAGAUCUCUGUGUUCUUCUCUGUUAAUUUUUGAAAGCCCCAGAUCUGUGUUGGAAUGGAAGUUUUUCGAAUUUCUAUAAGUUACUACCUGUUGACCUCCGAUUUAAAAUAAGUGUCGCAAAUUUGAACUAUGCUUAGUUCAAAACUGAGACACUUAUUUUAGAUCGGAGGGUGUACGUAUUCUAGAUUCUUAAAAUUUGAAAUUUUAUCAACAAGUUGGUUUCAAAUUUGAAAGUUCAACAAAAAUUUACUAAAAGUUCUUUUUGAUUUUUGGGAGUAGAUCUGAUAAUCUGAUAGUUCUUUUGAAAACAAAAAAUUGAAAGUUGCAGCCUUGAAUUUCUUCUAAAAAUUUGAAGGUUGGGUAAAAUGGAAGUUGAGAAAACAAACACUGAAAACUGAACAAAUUAGAAGUUGAAAAACCAAACAGUACUUUCAGGAAAAAGUGAAAGUCAAAAAUUGAAAUGUCUUAAAAAUGUAUAUGUUUCUUUGCGAAUUUUGAAAGUUUUGGUAUUUCAAAAAAACAUUUGCUCUCUGAUAGACAGAUUUUAAGUCGACACAAUAAUUGCUCACUGAAAGCUUGCGGGAGAAGGACGUAGGCCUAGAAAUGGGAAAAGAGGACAACAUGUAUGUCCCAAAAAAGGAAAAUAGUCUAGCCCAGUCGGAAAGCGACCACAGAGGAUACUUGUUGCGGUCGUAUUCCCCCUCCCCAUCCCUGAGAGAAACGGGUUUAGCUGACAAGGAAUCAUGUCUUUUUAAUUCUAAUUUUGUUAAUCCCAAUAAACCUGUAAGCCUCAAAUUAGGAGAUAUAGCUCCGUCCACUAUCUUUGAUUACCUUAAAAAAAUUGAAUUCAAAAUUUGAUUAAAAUAUCUCGUCAAGUGAAUAUCCGGUAUUUUUCGAUUUCCUGGUUGCCGCAAUCCACCCCCAUAUCCCUUUCUAGGAAAAAGGGUAUUUGGUACUCCGUAUCAAAAACCUUGAAUGGAACAAUUAUGCUACAUCCAAGUCGUUUGAUUUUUAGUUAGGGCUCAGUCAAUUUUUCAGCCGUUGGAUUUGGUUUUUGUGUUUUGAUAUUCAGAACAAACGACGGAGAAUUGGGAGUAAGGAUGGCAUCUAGAUACUAAUCUGACUAUUCUGGUACGUCGAUUAAGAUUUAAGACUUUUGUUUAAAAAUCAAGACAACUAAGUCUCCACUAGAUUAGUGCUGCACUAAGACAAGAAAACAUGGAGUCCGUCAGAAAACCUUUAUUACUUACAAGUUACGACGACUUCUUUACCGCUAUGCUGCCGCCACCGUCGCCAUGACCUCGCAAAAGAGUAUCUCUUUUUUGGGGUCGCAAAAGAGUACAAUUCAUCGGUGCCCGUCUGAAAAGAAAACCCCAACGCGGAUGAGAACCACGUCGAAGAAAUAGAUGGCUUAGGGUAUACCAAUUGAUUGUGAGACGGUAAUGGUGUCGAUUCCGAGAUUUCGUGACUCCUGUCUUUUGUGCUAAGGUUAAUCCUCGUUAUCCUUGAUCAUCAUGUUAGGUUUGACCGUUGACUUUAGAGAAGCAAAAAACCAAAAGCAACCCGUUGCCACUUGUCCACUCAAGAGACGACACGAGCCAUAUAUCCACGCGCCGACAACGAGAGCCCAUGGGCUGGAUCAAGGCAACGCGGAUAAGCAAUCUUUUGCCGCGUCGGCAAUCAGCGACUCAGCGUAGCGUCCGUGUGUAGUACAGAGAAAAAUCCUCUACUAUAAAAUAGACACCAGACGCUCAAGUUCUCAACGCAGUCCUGCUCCUCCAUCCCCGUUUUCAGAGAAUCUUGAUCCAAAGACAUCACAGUAGUUCUGUUCCGCACGAUCUUCUGCACAGAGUAAUUAGUCUCGAUCGACCAUGAGUUACCAGCAAGGUUCUUCCCCCGCAGGCGCAGCAGGAUACCCGGCUGCACGCCAGCAGCAGCAGCAGCAAGCCUACGUGGCGCCGCCGCCGCCGCCCGGCUACCCACAGGUGCAGGACGAGCAGCAGCAGUACCCAGCCGGCGCCGGCGCCGGCGCCGAGACCACCAGCCGCGGCCAUCACCAUCACCACCACGGCGGCGGCGGCGGCUUCUGGAAAGGAUGGUAAGCUCUACUUCUUCUUAUUCUGAAUUCUCUCCACUCUGCACUCUGAUUCUUUGAACAGCAAAGUUUAAUUGCUUCCUUUUUGUUGCUGCAGCUGCGCGGCGCUCUGCUGCUGCUGCCUCCUCGACGCCUGCUUCUGAUUUGAUCGAGCUUGUCCGAUGCUCGUCUCGUGAUCAUGGAGCGCUUACAUUACAUUACAUACACGCGCUCUGAUCACUGGGCUGAGCAGGGAGGAGGUGUUCAUCAUGCACGGUUGAUUGAUUUGCUUUCGAGCCUGGAAUGCCCAUGCCGUGUACCUGAUCAUUCUUUUUUUUUCUCCUCUCUGGUGGCGUGUUCUGCUCUUGUUGCAUGGUUUCUUCCUUGUGUAUUGUAAAGUUUGUUGCUGCUUAAGCAACAUUUUGUAUGUAUGCGCAUGUAUGUUAUGUACUUCCUCCUUGUCAUGUAUGUUAAGUUGUGCUAAACCCGUGUCAAUAAAUAUGGAACAGAGGGAGGGAGUAUACUUUUCACGCGAUCUUUUGUGCGUCAUGUACUCCCUCCGUCCCAUAUUAAGUGCUGAAAUAUGUAUGUAUCUAAACGUUUUUUGGAUAUAGAUACAUGCAUAUUUGAAUAAAUUUAAGUCACUUAAUAUGAAGCAGAGUGAUUAUAUUUUCGUAUAAUAUAUGGACAGUUAAAUCACAUUUUGAAUUAUACUAUAUGGCCGUUGAAUGUGUUGCUGGAUGCGACGCUGCACCCGGCCCAAUUCAAGCUCUACAUUAAACUGCAUAACAUAAAUCUUACUACAUUCUGUGACAUAACACCAGAAUUAGAUGAUCUGGUCACCAACAUGGCAAAAGACUAAGGUUUCGACUGUUAGAUGAUAUGAUCUGCCAUUGACUUCGAUGAUACCCUCGCCAGCUUCAUGGCUCGGAUUGGUCAUUGCCUUGGCCUCCACUUCCAGAGACUCCGGAAGGUUGAUUUUCAGCCACUGCUCGACAAGAUUAGGUGCCGGCUGGCUGGAUGGAAGUGCAAGAACUUGCUGAGUCAUCACCAUGGCGAAAUCCAUCCUAUCUCUCUAUCAAGAGCAGGCCACCUAACACACCAAAGCUCCAAAAAGUCCGAAUCAAACUCAAAAGCAAGAGACCAAUUAACUGGCCUAACCAGCAACAGAUAAACACAGGACUUCAAAUAUGAGAGGGGAUACAGGACCAACACAAUUUUCCAUCUGAAUCUUCAGUGGUCAUGCAUAGUACGCUUUGUAUUCAGAGUUGUUGACAUGUCGCCGUUACCAGGAUCUGAUUGUCUGAAAUCUCAACUUGCCUCAGAGUGCAUGGCUGCGUCGUCAAUACCCUGAUGAGACAUUCUUCUGCUUGAUGUACUUCCAUCUCAAUCAUAUGAAGUCAUCACUCACCAACAGGACUCAAUACAUACAAAAGAAUUCUACAUCUUUGCCACGCUGAGUCGUUGCAUCUCACUGGGGGCGCCCAUGUUCGUGUUCAUGUUGAUAUCUGAGUUAGUGGUCUUUCCUCCACCGAGAUUGCUCCGUUGUUUGCUACUGAAUCAUUUAAUUGCCACCCAUUCUAUGUGUUACAUAUCACGAUUUUUUGAUUAUGUUUGAUUAUGUUUUGAGGUAAUUGCUUUUUCAAAGAAAUAUUCAGAGAGAAUUCUUAUUUAGUAAAAAAUUGAAGAACAUUUAAACAACUCAAGCACAAUUAUAUUUUUAAUUCCGCGCAUUUACCUAGUUUUAAAAAAUAACUGUCUGAUUUUUCUAAUGGCAAAUGUGUGGAAACUUCAAUUUUCUGAAGAAUAUGUGGCGGACUGCCAUUCCAUCCAUUAUGUUUCAACCUUUUUUUUAUGGAAAGUUUCAACCUUCGUUCCGAUGCAAAACAUGUGUUAUUUGAUGCAAAAUGGUGAAGAAUACUGCAAAAUGCAGCACCAAAUUCUUCUCAAAGUUUUUAAUCUAUUUCUUGUCUUCGCACAAAAGUGAAACAUGGAAGCUAUUAUAAAAGAAAAACAUGUAAAAAUUGGAUUCAAUAGCAUGUUUUGUUUAAUCUUAUUAUCCUAUAUGAUUGCAUACCACACGAACUUUCACGGAAUCACCAAAAGACCUUUCAUUGCACCAUAGGAAAACCAUUCCUUUUUGCAAGUUGUUUGUGCCAAUGGAAAAUUUUCUACUCCCUCCGUCCAACAAAAGAUGUCUCAAGUUUGUUAAAAUUUGAAUGUAUCUAGACAUGACUUAGUGUAUAGAUGCAUUCAAAAUUAGUCAAAGUUGAGACAUCUUUUAUUGGACGGAGGGAGUACAAAAUAUAUUGAGGCACACUUACGAAAAAAAAUACUAAUUACAAUCGUACAAGUCAAACAAGAACCAAACAACCCGCAUAGUAAAAGUUCCAAGGAUUACAGUCUCCUUUUGUUUCCAAAAAAUCCUUUGAAACAAAGAGGCCAGUCGUCUUCAUGUUUAUGAAAGAAAAACACACCAGUCUUUUUCAACUGAGCAGAAAAAUUAAUAAAAUAUGAGUACAUCCAUUCCAGUUAUCACAACGAAAUGAGGAACGAUGUUCAGAAGUACAGGAUCCGGGUUGUGAUCUCAAACCAGAAUCAGCAGGGCACAAGCAUUCACCUCGCCCCACCGAUCUCACCGCUAGAACAAGCCGACAGAGCCAGCGGGGAGGUGUCCCUGUGGAGCCCGGGCUUGUUGCUUGAGCUCGAAGGUGCACUGACUCGGCUUCCUGAAGACUGUUGAACUGAAUACCCGGAAGAAGAGUAGCCAGUGCUCGAGAUCUUGAGCUGCCAAUCAGGGACGUAUCUAGGCCUCAUAGCUGUAUCCACGUCGGUCAUCUCGAUAUCUUCUGUGAGCAUGGACACGACCUUCGACAUCUGCGGGCGUUGCUGUGGCAUGCCCAUCGUGCAAAGAAGAGCAACAUUGAUAACUCGCGCUGCCUCUUGCUCAUCAAAUUCUGCAAGUCUAGCAUCUAGCAGUUCAAGUGUCUGUUUGCUCUCGUGUAGACGCCAGACCUGCAAGCCAAAGUUAGGUUAAUAAAGUUAAGCUGAGUUUGGUAUUGAGGUGGAUUUUGUCUGAAGGCCAAAUCAGUUUCUCCAUUGAUUGACUAGAAACAUAUACAAGAGCUUACAUGGGCCUUGGGCCUGACUAGACUAUAGGAAAAUAUAAAGCUAAAUACAUACAAAGGAAAUACUCUAAUACUCUUAAUAACACACACACACACAACUCAAGGUGGAUCUGAAACAUUGAGUUUGAGAAUAUGGAGUUUGUGUUGUUCUCUAGUUUGAGCUUUGUUGAAGAAAUCUGCCACCUGAAGCUCCGAUGGACAUAUUGGAGACCGAUGUGUUUGGUUAGCUCAUGUUUGACAGGAUCAUUAGCAAUCUGAAUCGCUGCAGUGCUGUCACCAUGGUUUUUAAAGCGUCCAGGCGCUCUAAGGCGUCGGGGAGGGGGCUCAACGCCUAGGCGCUCAAAGGGCGGCGAGGCGACGCCUUAGUCAUUUUUGCAAUGCGCUGGGGGAACUGUUGAAUAUGGCCCAUGCUGGCCCAACUGAACAAAGGGUUUUCUUCCUUCUCCCUCUCCCGUGCUCCCCACGCACUGCAGCCGCCACGCCACAGACCACCAAAUCCAUGAGCACUCAAGGGAGGGACGGUGGAGCAAGAUCUUGGCCGGAGAGGGGAAGGGCCCGCGGAGGAGGAUGGGAUCUGGCGGGAGCUCCUCUCUCUCUUUUCCCUCGAUUUAUACCACUGCUGUGUUUCCCUCUCUCUCCCCACUCUGUUUGCCCCCCAAUUUCUCCCGCCGAUUUCUGUUUCCCGCUCGACCUUCUAUCGACAGCGUCCAGAAACGAGCGAAGCGGCGAUUUCAGCGCCUAGGCGACGCCCCUGGACGCUUUAGUUCGAAUUCUAAGGCGAGAACGACGCCUUGACGUCGCUGGGCGCUUCGACGCCUAGGCGACGCUUUGAAAACCAUGGCUGUCACAAAGAAGUGAUGUUGGUGCAUCACAUGAAACACCAAGAUCAGCCAGUAACCAACGAAGCCAAAGGAUCUCUGAUUUAGUCCCAAAGUCCAACACCCAAGGAGCGCUAACACUUGACACAGAACAUGAUGAAGCAUGACUACUAAUAGAUCCAUUCAACGAUGCUUGCAACUGAUUCAAUUGGGUCUGAGGAUUGCUAAGUUGGUUCUGAAACUGAGUCAAUUGAGUUGCAAAACAUUGCAAACUGAUGGGGGCUGAAAUGGGAACAACAACAUCAGCUCUAUGACACAAGGAAGGACAAGGACCAAGCAGACCGUCAGAAUUCAUGAUGUGCAGCCAGUAAUGAAAAAUGCGGACCGACACGGCAGCACCAGUAGCCAACUUCUUAUCCAAACAAAUCAGCCCACAAGUAAAGACCUGCUUCUCUGCUCGUAACCAGCACACAUACUGCAGGAACGAGCUCACUCCAAUUCUGCAGCAAUCAAAGGCAAACAGCAGCACAUAAUCUACCUUAUACUUGUGUAGGAACAGAUCAAACUGCAGGAAAUCCUACCCCUCCUGUAUCUGCCACACAAGAAUUGGAAGGAUGUACAGAACAGAGCAGGCCAACAGCAGGAAGAGGAAGCCAGUGGAGACGGAGGUUCAGCAAAACAGCAGCAAACCAAUCGGAGGCAGGGGAGACGGAGACGACCAAGUCCGACCUGGACUCAAGCGGUCGAGGAAACAGCAGCCGGCAUGGCGGUGGCCAACGGGACUAGAAACGAGGUCGGCGGCGUGACGGGAGACGGCAGCCAGCAACUCGCCGGCGGAUGCAGCGGCGGCAGACAUGAAGGGGAAGCUACGGAGAUGGCCUAACGCUCUGCUACCAUGUCUGAAGGCCAAAUCAGUUUCUCCAUUGAUUGACUAGAAACAUAUACAAGAGAUUACAUGGGCCUUGGGCCUGACUAGACUAUAGGAAAAUAUAAAGCAUAAAUGCAUACAAAGGAAAUACUCUAAUACUCUUAACAGAUUUGAUGAUGUAGUUUUUUCAACCAGCUUUUGCCUAGGCUAACAAUUUUUUUUCCUACUUUAUGUGUAUUUUUUCACAGUAUAAAAUAAGUUCAGCAACCGUAGACUGAGCCUUAGUACACUACACAAAUAAUACUCCCUCCGUUCCUAAAUACUUGUCGUGGUUUUAGCGCAAAUUUGUACUAAAACCAUGACAAGUAUUUAGAAACGGAGGGAGUAGAAGAUAAUUUUUGUUUAAGUCAGAUACGUAUAGCAAAACUCACCCAUCCAAGAAGAUAUUUCUCAUCUUCCUCAAGACUGUCAUCGAAAUUCAGCCGUCCAGCAAUGAUCUCCAACACCACGAUGCCAAAUGCGAAAACAUCAGCCUUUUCUGUCAGGUGGCCCAUCAUGGCAUACUCAGGCGCGAGAUAACCACUAGAACCAUAGCAUGGUAAGUGUCUGAUUAAAUUUUAGUUAUGAAGGUGCACAAGACUAAUUAAGAAGGUCAGGAGAUGUUCUUACAGUGUGCCAGCAACUCCUGUGCUAACAUGAGUCAUGCUGUCCUUGUAAUGCCUAGCCAGCCCGAAGUCAGAGAUCUUAGGGUUGAGAUCAGCAUCCAACAACACAUUGCUGGCUUUGAUGUCCCUGUGCACUAUACGCAUGCUGGACUCCUCAUGGAGAUAUGCUAGACCCCUUGCAAUGCCUACACAUAUCUCAAAACGUGUUCUCCAGUCGAGGUUCAGUUCCGUCUUGCCUGCAUUUUCACCGAAGCUUUAGACACCUGGAAAGUUAUAAUGGUGCCAGUUGAGGUGGCUAAUGACAACUUGAAGUACCGAAGAUUGCUCGAUCGAGGCUCCCAUUUUCCAGGUACUCGUACACCAAAAGUGGUGCCUUACUGCCAAUGCAACAACCGUGCAACUUCACAAGGUUUCGGUGCUGAACUGCAGAUAUGGUGGCAAUUUCUGUCAUGAACUCCUUUUUCCCUUGAUGAGAUGUAGGAGACAGCUGUUUUACAGCUACCAUUCUCCCAUCAUGUAGCUCACCCUAUACGCAAAAGAUACAGCUCGUGAUUUCAGCAUGAAACAAGUAUAUACUAUAUUUAGUAGAUCAUGAACAGUACAAAUCUUCAAUGAAUUUUAGAACCAAACAAGCAUAAUUGAUACUCCCUCCGUUCCAUAAUUCUUGUCGAAAUCUUACAUGUAUCUAGACACUUUUUAGGAACAGAUACAUCCAUUUUUGGGCAAAUUUGAGACAAGAAUUAUGGAACGGAGGGAGUAUAAGUUCAAAAAUUCUUAGGGAGUAUAAGUUAAAAAAUUCAACUGGAACUGGAACUGACCAUGUAAACAAGUCCAUAUCCCCCUUUUCCGAGAAUGUUACUAGGACUAAAAUUUCCGGUAGCUGAUUUUAUUUCACCAUAACUGAAGACGUUAGGCCGCCCAACUAUACUGAACAGCUCUAUAAAACACCACAUCAAUAAAACAAGAAGGAAGCACCUGUCAAUUUCUCCCCAUGAUUACCCCAACAAUGUUAGUGUUUGUGUUACCUUCCAUUUCCACCUCUAACCUCCUCCUUUUCUGUCUCCAGGCAAAAGUCCCCACGAGUGCCAGAAGGCCUAAAACUGCAACACAAACUCCAACUCCAACAACCAAACCUGUUUUACUGGCUGUGCUGUUUUUCUGUGGACCAGGAUCCCCUUCAUUAUUGCUACCUACAGUAGGAGUAAGAUAGAAAAUAGAGUUUAUAAGAUGAUUUAUGGGACUAAUUGAAUUGUGAUAAGCAUAAGUAACAAUACCAUAAGAAGAUACACUUAAUGCUGAGAUAGCUGGCCCGUAGUGCCCCUGCUUAGGAACACAACAGGUGCCCUUUCCAGCCCAAAAGAGACGAAUCUCAAUGAAAUUAUUCGUAAUUUGAACAAUAUAUAACUUCGGAACAACAGUGUAAGAUUUUCCAUUUGCUUGUUUCUUUAUAUCAAAAUCCUUUUCUUUAAGUUCUCCCUGCAUGCACCAGGCAAGACAACAAAAGAUAUAAAAAUCCAAGGAAGAGAAAGGAAAUGUUGUAGAAUCAGUUUAGUUGAUAAAACAAAUGGGAAUCAUUCCCACGAUUUUAUGUACUAUUAAGAUGUUAUCAUUCUCUGGUAUAUGCACGAAUAAACCACCUGAAUGUAUAUAUUGAAAAUCCUCUUCCCCACACUUCUCCAUGUCUGAUCAUCUGGGAAAAAGAUCUCAGAAAAUUGAAGUAAAACAUUGUAAUUGCCAUUCUUAAGCCCAAUGCCGUAGUAUCUCAAUGAAGAGGGUGACAUUCUAGCUGUCUGAAAUAGUUCAGAAUCAAGUGUGUUGGUAAACCGGUUCGAAGUGUCUAUUAUGUAAGUCGCAUCAUUGGUAUCAAUGAAUUUCCCAGUGUUGCUAACACCCCAUCUAGAUGAGUUCAUAACGUAGUAUGAUGCACCCUGAAGACUGGCAUCAUCAGGAUCGUAAAUGGAGUUGUCUGCGGCUCUGAUGGGUGUCUCACCACCAGAGUCUACCGCGAAGGAGGAAUCUGCAAGUUAACAUCAACAUAGAAGUGAUACAGAUUUUAGUAUUGUCCAGGGAAGAUGCUGCUAAGGAUGAAGAGAUAAGGGCUCACAAGAUGGAGAGCCACUAAGACAUGGAGUAUCACGCUGAAGGCAAUUUAGUCCUGGAGGCAAAAUACUGACAAAGUAGAUAGCUCAACCUUCAAUGACAUAGUUAAAUUACGAGUUGCGGUAUUCCAUAUGUAGAUUAAAAAAGAUAAAUGAUCUAAGAAAAAAAUACCUGCUGUUGGAGCUAUCUAUUAUGAAGUUGUUCCACACCAAAUUCCUAAAAGAAAACCAAUGCAGACAGUUUGGUCACAAAAUGCUAUGUUCAGCAUGCAAGUCUAUAGUUUCACAGUUCAGACUCCGAAAUGAAAAUGUAACAUAAAUGCAUUGAUUUUGUGUGUAAUUAUUAAAAAACCUACACUUUUGAAUUGUUUGUGUUCACCCACGAUGGAAAUCUUCCAGAGAGCAUAUUGUAUGAAAGGUCUCUACAAUAAAAAUAUUAAGGCAUAUUCAUUAAAACAAUGAAGAAAGAGAAUAACCAAGAUCCUCCACAUAUAAACAAAAACCAAUCAUUCAUCUUCCAUGGCGUGGUGCGCAUACAUCCUGUCAGCAUGAAAUAGAAUAAAACAGACCAACAGACCUCUUGGAACAAAGGAAGAAAAUAGAUCUUUUUACUUGAUAGAAGAAAACAUCUUACAUGGUACGAAGUGAAGGGCUUUUUGUAUCCGGUAGGCUCCCAGAGAGGUUAUUGCUCCCAAGAAAACUGGUCUCGAUGAACCUUAGUUUUUGAAAAUUGAAAUCCUUAAAAUAGGACUAAUAGAAGAACUAGAUUCUAUCCAGAUAUCCUUACAGAAAUGUGAGAGAACUCAGGUUCAGAAGAAUUGAAGAAACUUCGCCUGUGAUGCUGUUAAAACUUAAGUUCCUGAUUCAGCCGGAAACAUAUAAAGAUCGUUACACACAAACACUUUCCUCCCAAGUCCCAACUAAACAAUUAGGUUUAAAACAAUUCCCAGUAAUGUUAAAUUCGUAAAAAACAUCCAAUAUUUUCUUACAGAUAAUUAAGUUGUGCAAAUUUCGAGAAGUCCACUGAAGUAAGGUUGUCAGAUAUCCUGGAGUUUCUCAGGACUCUGCAGUAAGAGAAUAAAAAGCUUUAGGGUAUCCCACAUGCCAAAACACAAAGAAGUUAUUAAGUACAAACUAUAUCAUCGUACAAAAUACUCAAAGAUGUCAUGUUAACCACAAAAUCCAAGGAAGACACCUCGCCCGUUAAAUCACCUAUUCGCCUUCACAAUAUAAAAGUUAAUGAACCAUAUGCCCGAUUUAAAGUAGGAAGAACCUACAAACUUGUUAACUUGAGUAGAUUAGAAAAACUUGCAGGAAUGGGACCAUCAAAGUAAUUUCCUUGGAGUCUCCUGCAUUGACACAUACAUCUAAUAAGCAGAGAAAGAAUCAACUCAUUUACAAAUCAUGAAAGCAUAGUCACCCGGUCACUAAAUGUGACACAUGGGGAGAUAUAGAAUGGUAAAAGAAAGAUAGAAACAGCAGCAGCUUCAGUCUACUCCUAUCAUGAACCCCGAAAACAUGUGGAUCAUUUCUCGUCACAAUUAUUUUUACUAACAAGGGAACUAGAGCCUGCAAAAGUAACAAAUUCACCAUGUGAUAUCUUACAGUUCUAUCAAAUUUGAUAAAGUUCCAAUGUAAUCAGGUAUCUUCCCAGUAAACUCGUUAUCUGAUGCCCAUCUGAAUGCAUAAGAACAAAGUUACUGCACUGACUGUAGCACAUCUGCAUGUGCCUUUAUAACAGAAAGUGCAAUAAGAGAAUUUACAGUAUUUUCAGGUUCUUAAGUUUUGAAAAGUUAGGUGGUAGCUCUCCACUUAAACCACAACUAUCAAUAUACCUGGAAUAAAAAAAAGAGAAAUGGUUAUGCUCAAUUUCGGUACAUGUGUUUUACAAGAAAAGGUAGGUCAAGCAUAACCAAGACAUAACAGUUGCUCAAGUUGGGUCAAGUUUUCUACUACUUCAGGAAGUGGGCCGACGAACUUGUUGGUGCUGAUGCCCCUGAAACAUAAGGAAAUGGAGGUUCAGAAAAUACAAACAUGACACAGUUGGUACAUAAAAAAUCAGGUGUUUGAUUUAUGGAGGCGGUACUUUUUCUUUACUUUGUGGCAGUAACUUCUACAAGAAAUAAGCAAUAAGAUUCUGAGCACCGCAAAUAAAAUGUACUAACAGAUCAACAAUCUCCACAUGGCUAGAAUAUAUUCUUGUGGAUUUGAGUUGCGAUGAGAUUCUUGAGGUGCUAUGAGAGAUAUUCUCUUACAGUGCUAUGAGAUUCUUGAGGUUACCGAGCUCCCUAGGUACAACUCCAGUUAAUGCAUUGAUUCCCAGAGCUCUUGUAAUUUUGAAAAGAGCAUAGCAAGUUAAGGACUCACAAGAUACCAGAUAAUAGUACUACCAUUAGUAUAUAUUUAAAUGUUUCGAAGAAACAUGAAAUGUAAUUCUUACAGGUACUUCAACCGAGUCAGCUUUCCAAUGAAUGCUGGUAAAGAUCCAGUUAAGUAAUUUUGCACUAAAUUCCUGCAAGGUAUCAGAUAACCAGUGUACAACUAAGGUUUCUAGAUUUAUCUGCGGAAACACUUAUUGGGCGUCGGACAGCAGCAUUUAAUUCAUAUAGGCCUUACAAUCUAAAUGCAAUUAGAACUAACAUGUUACCAGGAUGAUCUGUAAAAUAGAGGUUAUCGAUUGGCAUGAACCGUAAUAGUGGGAACUUAUUUGUAUUGAGAAAACCAUUUUAACUGAAAAUGGAAUGUAAAUAAAGGAAGUAACAUAUUUGCUGAUGCUGUUUUCUACCUCUUGAAAAUCAACACAGCCAAUUAAAUGACAUAUCUACUGAAAGCCUGACCAAGUAAUUAACUAACAAACUCUAUGUGCAAUGUAUAAAACACGGAAGCUCUCUGUUCACUCCACAUAACCUAUAGCUGUAAAACUAGAACAGAUAGUCUACUGUACUACCUCUCGUCUGUAAGUUUCUGUAAUGCUUUAAAUGGAUGUCCUUUAGUGUUCAUACAGGUUUGUCAGGUAAGUUAGAUUUUGCAAUUCCGCUGGAAUCUGACCAACCACAUCUAGUCCGUACACUUUCCUGCAUAAAUAGAAGAACAAUUCAAUAAGAAACAGGAUUACAUCUCAAAAUUAGUGCAUCGACUAGAAUGAGAACAUUCAACAACUAUUCACACCAAUGUUAUGCAAACAACUGUAUGGUAAGUUGAUAACCAUGCCAAAAUGUCAUUCGGUCACUUCAUUUUUCUCAACAAGUUCGUCAAAGAAGAUUGCCUUAUAUGGAUUGCUAGAACAAUCCUUUUGGCAUUCACCAAAGUUUGUCAUAGGUGUGGUGGACUACUGGACUUUUGGCUUGGCCCACUUUUUCUGCCGCAAUAGUUUAUCUAAUUCAUGGCAGGAUUUUUAGAGAAGCUCAUCUAACGACAGUUGUGGCAAUAUUGAGUAACCAAAAAGAUACCCCCUGCCUAGGAUUUACUCCGAUUAUUUGGGAUGGACCUUUACCUCCUGAUUCCUGGAAUCGGGGUUGAAAAUAUAGACUUUUUCUCUAGGAUUUACUCGGAAUAUUUUGGGAUCGAAAGGAGUGAACUCACAGUCUUGUGAUGUGGCAGACGGUGCUGACGUUGUAGGAGCAGUCGCACUUGAUGCCCGGAUUGAAGUCGACGGCGGUAUCCAACUCGGUGUCAUCGACGGCGGCGCCGCUGCAGAGCUCGCCACUGAUGUUCCACAAGGGCGGCGACAGCGGCGCGCGCAGGCCCCACCGCCGGAAGAUGGCGUUGAGCGCGGCCACUGCGUAUAUAUGUAUGCAGCUGAUCAUUUGAACGCGUUAAUCAGAGGAAUCGAAUGGAAGAGGUAGGAAGUGCCUUCGGAUGGAUCCGUCUCUGCUUGCCGCUGAGCUCGAGCAGACAGCGCGAAGAGCAGCAGCACAAGGCCGCUCAAGCAACCACAAGGCCAAACCAACGCCAAACCUCCAUGUCUUGGCCGCAUCGCUAGCUGCUCUGUUUCUCUCCCUCCCUGAGAUUGAGAUUGAGAUUAAUGGUAGAGGGUGCCUAGAAUGCUAUCGCUAUUUGGUGGCAGAAGACUUCUUUUUUUGACAGCUGGUGGCAGAAGACUUUUUAUUAGCCAGUAUUCGCAUGUCAGCAGCUUGUAUAAUGUUCUGAUUUCCCAUAAGUUUGUUGGAAUUUGGGACUAGGGCCCAAAAUCCAAUCUGAAAUUAAUUUCUGAAAAAUCUCAAAUUUCUGAGGUUUGUUGGAAAGUGAAAUAUUCCCACCUUGCUAAUUUAAGGAAAGUUGGACCAAUAUAUAAAAAAUAUUGGUAUCCCACCUAUCAACAAGGUGAGCAAGAGAAUAUCCCCACACGAGCUCCUCCUACGCUCGCCUAUUCAGGUGAGCAAGGGAUCGAGUCGGGUCGUACUUAUCUUUUUGGCAUUGCGGAAUCGAUUUUGGUUUUAUAAAUCAAUGUUGGUUGGUUUUUUAAACCGAACAGACAUCUGCCGGCGUCGCGUCCAUGAUCCAAUCUCUUUCUUUGUUCGCCGCCUUCUUCUACUCUAUCCCGUCGGCUGCGUGCACAGCUUGCCGGGAGAGCAGACCUCCGGAACCCCGACCUUCGUGAUCCUGCCCGGAAGACGGUCAAUAAGAUUUUUGGAGAGCGUUCUCACGCGACUGCUCGCUUCAUCACGUCCAUGUUUCUCCAUCACCAAUGGCCAACAUUGUCCCCAACAACCAUGAUCCCGCGGCUCAGGCUUCCGCUCAAGCUCAGUAGCAGCAGGUUGCCCAACUCCAAACUCAGUAGCAGCAGGCUGCUCUACUCCAACAGCAGCAGAUUGAACAACAGGCGGUUGCUGCUGCUCAGAUGCAAGCGCAGGCGCUGGCAGCUGCCCAGGAGAUUGCCAAGUCGGCUGCUGCAGCUGGCUGAACAUCGACGCCGCUAGACUCGUCACCGACUUCAACAAAUUCAUCAACAAGGAACAACCAACUCAGGAGAAGGGCACCGUACUGUACGUAAUCUGUUCUUUCUUAUUGAUUUUAUUUAGUAGUUAUAUUACUCAUGCUGUAGAAUUAGACGAGUUUGAUCGCUGUGCGUUGCUGUUUAGUUUGUCUAGUUUGCAUGAUGUAAUAUGCUACUUGAUUUAUGCCAUGAUUUUUUGAAUUAAAUAUUCAUCGAAAAUACUUAAUUAUUCAACAAGGUUGACAUGCCAGAACAUACAAUUCCUGCUUAUGACUCCCACCCCCUCCCUAAAAUCCUAACCACUAGAUUUAAAUUUAGCAUUUUGUAAAACUUACAUAUCGCUCUGCAUAUCUACUACUUGUGUACAUUGAUUUGGCCACUAGUUAUUCUGCUUACUUUGCAGAAUAACUAGUGGAAUGUGUGCAUUUUCGAGGGCGUUAGUCCGGUAGGGGCUCAGCUUGCCGAGGAUAUCCUUGUCGAGGCGGACUUAUGGCGUGCCGCCGGUGCAUGGGCACUUGAUCGCCUCCCCCUACACGCGCGUCUCCCGGACUCGGUGCUGAUUUCUACCCCUUAAUAGUGGGGACUCGGUGAUAAUUUCUACCCCUGUAUAGUAGCCUUUGGCCUUUGUUUUCUUUCUUCUCUUUUCUUUGUUUUGGGGAUCCGUUGGGUCCCAUUUUGUUGUCUCGCUGUACUUGUGCUUCUUGCACUUUCUUCUCAAUGAAAAUGACACGUCGAUCGGCAUGUUCGAUAAAAAAAAAGUUAUUCUGCUGACUUUGCAGACUACCUUGUGUUGGAUUCAGGCACAACUAUUAUUUUCUGAAAUCGAGACAUCAGAAUAAAAAACAAAUCAAGGGUUUACCACUGUUUUAUGACCGGCCAGAGUAAAUAAGAAAUGCAAUUAUGCACAUAAGUAGAGAAAAAGGUUCAGGCUUUUAUUGCAAUAUGAUGUCAUCUAACUGUUCCAAGUUAUUCUGUACAUUGUCGUCUCA